AGUAGUUUGAUCCGUGGCUCGAGGACGAACGCUGGCGGCGUGCCUAACACAUGCAAGUCGAGCGGAGUUACAGAGCGGAAAGCUUCGGCCGGAAGGUUUGUAACUUAGCGGCGGACGGGUGAGUAACGCGUGAGCAACCUGUCCUCUACAGGGGGAUAAGACAGCGAAAGUUGUUCUAAUACCGCAUAAGACCACAGGAUCACAUGGUCCAGGGGUCAAAGGAGCAAUCCGGUAGAGGGUGGGCUCGCGUCCGAUUAGAUAGUUGGUGAGGUAACGGCCCACCAAGUCGACGAUCGGUAGCCGACCUGAGAGGGUGAUCGGCCACAUUGGGACUGAGACACGGCCCAAACUCC
This 353-nucleotide ribosomal RNA is filed under the name uncultured Coriobacteriales bacterium. Its description in RNAcentral is "bacterial SSU rRNA". It matches the Rfam family "Bacterial small subunit ribosomal RNA", at positions 1 to 339 of the family's 1533-position model. Lineage: Bacteria; Bacillati; Actinomycetota; Coriobacteriia; Coriobacteriales. The record is from RNAcentral.